RNAcentral lists this ribosomal RNA (2925 nucleotides) under Escherichia coli. RNAcentral describes it as "bacterial LSU rRNA". It matches the Rfam family "Bacterial large subunit ribosomal RNA". The record is from RNAcentral. Lineage: Bacteria; Pseudomonadati; Pseudomonadota; Gammaproteobacteria; Enterobacterales; Enterobacteriaceae.
GGGUUGUGAGGUUAAGCGACUAAGCGUACACGGUGGAUGCCCUGGCAGUCAGAGGCGAUGAAGGACGUGCUAAUCUGCGAUAAGCGUCGGUGAGGUGAUAUGAACCGUUAUAACCGGCGAUUUCCGAAUGGGGAAACCCAGUGUGUUUCGACACACUAUCAUUAACUGAAUCCAUAGGUUAAUGAGGCGAACCGGGGGAACUGAAACAUCUAAGUACCCCGAGGAAAAGAAAUCAACCGAGAUUCCCCCAGUAGCGGCGAGCGAACGGGGAGGAGCCCAGAGCCUGAAUCAGUGUGUGUGUUAGUGGAAGCGUCUGGAAAGGCGCGCGAUACAGGGUGACAGCCCCGUACACAAAAAUGCACAUAUUGUGAGCUCGAUGAGUAGGGCGGGACACGUGGUAUCCUGUCUGAAUAUGGGGGGACCAUCCUCCAAGGCUAAAUACUCCUGACUGACCGAUAGUGAACCAGUACCGUGAGGGAAAGGCGAAAAGAACCCCGGCGAGGGGAGUGAAAAAGAACCUGAAACCGUGUACGUACAAGCAGUGGGAGCCUCUUAAUGGGGUGACUGCGUACCUUUUGUAUAAUGGGUCAGCGACUUAUAUUCUGUAGCAAGGUUAACCGAAUAGGGGAGCCGAAGGGAAACCGAGUCUUAACUGGGCGUUAAGUUGCAGGGUAUAGACCCGAAACCCGGUGAUCUAGCCAUGGGCAGGUUGAAGGUUGGGUAACACUAACUGGAGGACCGAACCGACUAAUGUUGAAAAAUUAGCGGAUGACUUGUGGCUGGGGGUGAAAGGCCAAUCAAACCGGGAGAUAGCUGGUUCUCCCCGAAAGCUAUUUAGGUAGCGCCUCGUGAAUUCAUCUCCGGGGGUAGAGCACUGUUUCGGCAAGGGGGUCAUCCCGACUUACCAACCCGAUGCAAACUGCGAAUACCGGAGAAUGUUAUCACGGGAGACACACGGCGGGUGCUAACGUCCGUCGUGAAGAGGGAAACAACCCAGACCGCCAGCUAAGGUCCCAAAGUCAUGGUUAAGUGGGAAACGAUGUGGGAAGGCCCAGACAGCCAGGAUGUUGGCUUAGAAGCAGCCAUCAUUUAAAGAAAGCGUAAUAGCUCACUGGUCGAGUCGGCCUGCGCGGAAGAUGUAACGGGGCUAAACCAUGCACCGAAGCUGCGGCAGCGACACUAUGUGUUGUUGGGUAGGGGAGCGUUCUGUAAGCCUGUGAAGGUGUACUGUGAGGUAUGCUGGAGGUAUCAGAAGUGCGAAUGCUGACAUAAGUAACGAUAAAGCGGGUGAAAAGCCCGCUCGCCGGAAGACCAAGGGUUCCUGUCCAACGUUAAUCGGGGCAGGGUGAGUCGACCCCUAAGGCGAGGACGAAAGGCGUAGUCGAUGGGAAACAGGUUAAUAUUCCUGUACUUGGUGUUACUGCGAAGGGGGGACGGAGAAGGCUAUGUUGGCCGGGCGACGGUUGUCCCGGUUUAAGCGUGUAGGCUGGUUUUCCAGGCAAAUCCGGAAAAUCAAGGCUGAGGCGUGAUGACGAGGCACUACGGUGCUGAAGCGACAAAUGCCCUGCUUCCAGGAAAAGCCUCUAAGCAUCAGGUAACAUCAAAUCGUACCCCAAACCGACACAGGUGGUCAGGUAGAGAAUACCAAGGCGCUUGAGAGAACUCGGGUGAAGGAACUAGGCAAAAUGGUGCCGUAACUUCGGGAGAAGGCACGCUGAUAUGUAGGUGAAGCGACUUGCUCGUGGAGCUGAAAUCAGUCGAAGAUACCAGCUGGCUGCAACUGUUUAUUAAAAACACAGCACUGUGCAAACACGAAAGUGGACGUAUACGGUGUGACGCCUGCCCGGUGCCGGAAGGUUAAUUGAUGGGGUUAGCGGUAACGCGAAGCUCUUGAUCGAAGCCCCGGUAAACGGCGGCCGUAACUAUAACGGUCCUAAGGUAGCGAAAUUCCUUGUCGGGUAAGUUCCGACCUGCACGAAUGGCGUAAUGAUGGCCAGGCUGUCUCCACCCGAGACUCAGUGAAAUUGAACUCGCUGUGAAGAUGCAGUGUACCCGCGGCAAGACGGAAAGACCCCGUGAACCUUUACUAUAGCUUGACACUGAACAUUGAGCCUUGAUGUGUAGGAUAGGUGGGAGGCUUUGAAGUGUGGACGCCAGUCUGCAUGGAGCCGACCUUGAAAUACCACCCUUUAAUGUUUGAUGUUCUAACGUGGGCCCCUUACCGGGGUUGCGGACAGUGUCUGGUGGGUAGUUUGACUGGGGCGGUCUCCUCCUAAAGAGUAACGGAGGAGCACGAAGGUUGGCUAAUCCUGGUCGGACAUCAGGAGGUUAGUGCAAUGGCAUAAGCCAGCUUGACUGCGAGCGUGACGGCGCGAGCAGGUGCGAAAGCAGGUCAUAGUGAUCCGGUGGUUCUGAAUGGAAGGGCCAUCGCUCAACGGAUAAAAGGUACUCCGGGGAUAACAGGCUGAUACCGCCCAAGAGUUCAUAUCGACGGCGGUGUUUGGCACCUCGAUGUCGGCUCAUCACAUCCUGGGGCUGAAGUAGGUCCCAAGGGUAUGGCUGUUCGCCAUUUAAAGUGGUACGCGAGCUGGGUUUAGAACGUCGUGAGACAGUUCGGUCCCUAUCUGCCGUGGGCGCUGGAGAACUGAGGGGGGCUGCUCCUAGUACGAGAGGACCGGAGUGGACGCAUCACUGGUGUUCGGGUUGUCAUGCCAAUGGCACUGCCCGGUAGCUAAAUGCGGAAGAGAUAAGUGCUGAAAGCAUCUAAGCACGAAACUUGCCCCGAGAUGAGUUCUCCCUGACUCCUUGAGAGUCCUGAAGGAACGUUGAAGACGACGACGUUGAUAGGCCGGGUGUGUAAGCGCAGCGAUGCGUUGAGCUAACCGGUACUAAUGAACCGUGAGGCUUAACCUUACAACGCCGAAG